Molecule: ribosomal RNA, 310 nt
Filed under: uncultured bacterium
Lineage: Bacteria
Description: partial 16S ribosomal RNA
Rfam family: Bacterial small subunit ribosomal RNA
Source: RNAcentral
AAGAGACAGCAGUCGCCGCGGGAAUACGGAGGGUGCAAGCGUUAAUCGGAAUUACUGGGCGUAAAGCGCACGCAGGCGGUCUGACAAGUCAGAUGUGAAAUCCCCGGGCUUAACCUGGGAACUGCAUUUGAAACUGUCAGGCUGGAGUCUUGUAGAGGGGGGUAGAAUUCCAGGUGUAGCGGUGAAAUGCGUAGAGAUCUGGAGGAAUACCGGUGGCGAAGGCGGCCCCCUGGACAAAGACUGACGCUCAGGUGCGAAAGCGUGGGGAGCAAACAGGAUUAGAUACCCCAGUAGUCCCUGUCUCUUAUAC